RNAcentral lists this ribosomal RNA (465 nucleotides) under uncultured bacterium. Its description in RNAcentral is "partial 16S ribosomal RNA". It matches the Rfam family "Bacterial small subunit ribosomal RNA", at positions 338 to 795 of the family's 1533-position model. The record is from RNAcentral.
CCUACGGGGUGCAGCAGUGGGGAAUAUUGCGCAAUGGGCGAAAGCCUGACGCAGCGACGCCGCGUGAGGGAUGAAGGUCUUCGGAUCGUAAACCUCUGUCAGCAGGGAAGAACGGUCACUGUGCUAAUCAGCAGUGAAUUGACGGUACCUGCAAAGGAAGCACCGGCUAACUCCGUGCCAGCAGCCGCGGUAAUACGGAGGGUGCGAGCGUUAAUCGGAAUUACUGGGCGGAAAGCGCUCGUAGGCGGUAUGUCAAGUCAAGGGGGAAAUCCCCGCGCUCAACGUGGGAACUGCCUUUGAAACUGGCAAACUGGAGUGUGUGAGAGGAUAGUGGAAUUCCAGGUGUAGGAGUGAAAUCCGUAGAUAUCUGGAGGAACAUCAGUGGCGAAGGCGACUAUCUGGCACAUAACUGACGCUGAGGAGCGAAAGCGUGGGUAGCAAACAGGAUUAGAUACCCGGGUAGUC